CGCGAGGUAGAGCAGUUGGUCAGCUCGCAGCGCUCAUAACGCUGAGGUCGGGAGUUCGAGUCUCCCCUUCGCAACCA
RNAcentral lists this transfer RNA (77 nucleotides) under compost metagenome. RNAcentral's name for it is "tRNA-Met". It matches the Rfam family "tRNA". Rfam says of the family: Transfer RNA (tRNA) molecules are approximately 80 nucleotides in length. Their secondary structure includes four short double-helical elements and three loops (D, anti-codon, and T loops). Further hydrogen bonds mediate the characteristic L-shaped molecular structure. tRNAs have two regions of fundamental functional importance: the anti-codon, which is responsible for specific mRNA codon recognition, and the 3' end, to which the tRNAs corresponding amino acid is attached (by aminoacyl-tRNA synthetases). tRNAs cope with the degeneracy of the genetic code in two manners: having more than one tRNA (with a specific anti-codon) for a particular amino acid; and 'wobble' base-pairing, i.e. permitting non-standard base-pairing at the 3rd anti-codon position. The record is from RNAcentral.